Molecule: long non-coding RNA, 2477 nt
Filed under: Durio zibethinus
Lineage: Eukaryota; Viridiplantae; Streptophyta; Magnoliopsida; Malvales; Malvaceae
Description: long non-coding RNA (DZIB_LNC000733)
Source: RNAcentral
CAGCACAGACUUCAAUUAUGUAAAAGCUUAAUUGCCGAUGUAUCUGACAACAUUUCUAGGAUAAAAUCCUUUUAUAAGAACAUUCAAAGUGGAUGCAAAGAGAUAUCUGGAGCGUCUUGUGCUCCUUAUUGACAGAUAGCUUGAAGUCAUUAACCCUAACAAGAAAAAACAAAUGAAGCAACACAAUAAGGCAAUAAUAAAAGCCAUUCAAAUAUAUUAUAAGUAAUACCAAUUUCCACAGCAUUAAUUAGAUGUUUUAACAUUAAAACGUAAACCACAAGAAGAUAUAUAAGGAAAAGUUAGCUGCACAUUCUAGUUCCAGAAUAUUCUUGGAAAUCGAAUCAUCGCAACACAACCUGCAGUACAACACAAAAGGAUGAAACAUACUCAUAACCAUCGUCUUAAGAGGCACUAGCAACAAUUUCAGUACAGAUGUAACCAUCAAUACUGUUUAAAAUGACAGAUUGAAAUCAUGGGCAGGUGAGGCCCUCAUCAAGUCUAGGGUUUUAUGUUUUUUUUCUGUUUAUUCUGGAAUGAAGAUAAAGUUGUUCUAAGGUGGUUGAUGAAUAAAAAUAAAUGAGAAUCAAAUUAUUAAUAAUAAUGCAUAAAUUACACCUUUCACCCUGAAACAGAUAAAUUUAUUACUCUCUAAAAAGAAAAUGGGAUUAAUUCAGUUAUGUUAAAAAUGAAAAUCAAAUUCCAAAGUUCCAAAACGGUAUUAACAAACAAACUAUAAAUAAUUCCCCAUUUAAGCUAGGGGCCUGUGUUAUGCAAAAUAUAUCAGGAAAUAUCAAUUUAAGUAACAAAGUUCCAUGCAGAUUCUUCUAGGAUUAUAUUCAAGUUUACUAUUUCUUUUAGAAUUCUUUUUUUUUUUUUUCAAAAUCCUUUUCUACCAGAUGCAUUUAUCCCCAGCAUACUGAAAAAGCAGAUCAUAAUAGAAAACAAAUCUCAUAAAUAAAUUUAAAAAAGUUCAUUACCUAAAAAUAUUGUACACCUUUGGAUAGAACAAAGCACUGAAAACCUAAAGAACUGUCUACUUUCAUCAAAUAGCCUUAACUAUGAAGUCAAAGCACUUCUAAUUGCGUGAAUGGUCAAUGGUUACGCUACUUUAUUUAUUACUUGAGCAGUAAAAUAAAAGAAAAUUUAAAGUCAUAGAUAAGAAAACAAUUUCUUCAAAGUUUUUGAAGAUAAUAAAGCCAUAAAAUUUUCUCUCAACUUAAAUUUCACAAAAUUAACUAAAAUACUAGAGCUCAGGGAUUGAUUAUUUACUAAAAGAUAAAAUAGUGCAAAUUUUUUUCCACUCAUUAAUCUUAAUAUGGAAAGGUGAUGAUGAUGAUUAUUAACAGACAAUUGUCUAUCCUAGCCUUAUAGUCUAUGGUUGAGACUUAAGAUCCAACAUGUUAGAUUCUUUAUUAGAUGUUAAAAUGUUGUGACCGGUAACAUGUUUAUCAUUUGUCACCCGAUCCCUCGAAUUAGAAAUCAACACCAUGUCCUAGAAUCUAUGACAGUUAAUCUAAAAUCCACAAGCUCUACUAAGCACAGGGAUCUAGACAAAAAAAGACGGUCAUAUACACUGAUAAAUACAGAACAAGGAAGCAAGGAGUACAGUUAACAUAAAAAAUCAUUCAAAAUCUUUUAUAUUACAAGAACUACAGCCAAAAAAAAACUUUCAUCUUAAGCAGUAGAUCUAAAACUACAACUCUCACAAACAACUCAAGACUUGAGCUUUACAAACUAAGUAGAAUCACUCAAAUACAAUUACACAACACAGAAACAAGUAGAACCUCUGGGAUCCAAGCUAAAAACAAUAAAAUCAACAGCAGUUGCCAGCAGAGCAUGCUACUAUUUGAACAAAUAAGUUAACUUAAACCCUUGAAACUCAAAAACCAGAUCAGAACAGAGAACUAAUUCGUUUAUAAAAAGAAAAACAAACCCAGAUUAGUUUCAGCCACAUAACUAACUUUCUGUCCAGAUUAAAAUUAUAUAUAAAGACCAAUGACCUAAACAAGGAAAAUUCACCAAAUUUCCUUCUUUAAAUUAAUUAAUACACCAUCCAAAUAAUACGACUAUGAAAAUAUGACAGUUCAAAACCAUGCAUACAUAGCCCGAUAACCUAACCCUCAAUUGAUUCCCUGAACCAUGGAAACAAAAAGUUACAUGAAACACAUAAGAAGCAAAGUUACCCACAAAAAAAAAAAAAAAAGCUAGAAACUCCAAAUUGUUGGCAUGAUUGAUGAAAUAAGGUAAGAAACUGUGAAGUAAUAACCAGUAAAACGAUUAAGCUUGAAGGCAAUGAAAAAGAAUUAGUAGAUAUACCGUGAAGAAAUUCAAAUUCAGAGAAAAUUUGGAGAAAACUGAGGGAUCUGAGAAGCGACUAAAGACAUGUUAAGAAAGGUGGAGAAUCUUUAAAACAGAGAAAAUAAAUUUUUGGUAGCAUUUACGAAUUAAAGAAAGAACAGAAUUUCAACAAAGCGUGG